Non-coding RNA from Diplodia corticola, 59 nucleotides. The record is from Rfam. NCBI's taxonomy places the organism in Eukaryota, Fungi, Ascomycota, Dothideomycetes, Botryosphaeriales, Botryosphaeriaceae.
ACCUUAAUAGCGCCGGGCUCAUAACCCGGAGGACAGUGGAUCGAAACCACUUUCAGCUA